This is a long non-coding RNA of Chelonia mydas (Green sea turtle), 700 nucleotides long. RefSeq lists it as uncharacterized. Lineage: Eukaryota; Metazoa; Chordata; Testudines; Cheloniidae. The transcript is spliced from 2 exons. The record is from RefSeq and is a predicted model, not a curated record.
UGCUAGACCUGGAGGAGAGUGGAUGAUGCUCUGGGCUCGCUGCUAUGAUUCCACCAGGACAAGACCCUAAGAUUGAUUAGCUCCUGACACACCACUUUUCCUUGGAGGACUCUGGCAACCUUUGGUGGACAAGCAGCAGGACGUCACAAGAGACUGUCACCUGAUCUGUGGUCUUACUCAACAUACCCUUUUCCACACUUGGGGUCUGGAAGAUCUGCAGCUCACAUUUCAUCGUCCCGUCAUAUCAUGUUCACAGUCUUCCAAAAAGAGUGCCAAAGUAACAUAGUACUACAAGAAGAAUGGGAUGUGGGAGUAGCAGAGGAGAGACAAGAAGUAAAAUCGGGGCCUCAUUACCUUCCAGCGUGUGUGGGUGGAGGGGGUUAAGGCAGAAAACCUGCUUCAAAAAAACCCAUCUGUAUCUAUUAUGAAGGAGCAGUAAAAAGCCUUUUGUUUGGCUUAGCUGUUCACUUUUAACUGCUUUACAUUCCUCUCUCCCCCUCUCCAUUAGAAAGGAUGAAAGCACACAACCUAUUCAGAGCUCUCGGGACCACCGAAUUUUUAUUUCGUCAGUAUCCUCCUCUGCAGGAGAGCGAUCCAAAGAGGGAAGAGAAGCACUUGAACUUGCCCUGUGAAGGAAUGUAGUUAGUGCUAGGUCAUAGUUCUCUCUCCCUGCCAUGUCAGAAAUAACUUUACAUUCUCA